This 246-nucleotide RNase MRP RNA is filed under the name Glycine soja. Its description in RNAcentral is "RNase MRP". It matches the Rfam family "RNase MRP". From Rfam's summary of the family: RNase MRP is an enzymatically active ribonucleoprotein with two distinct roles in eukaryotes. Lineage: Eukaryota; Viridiplantae; Streptophyta; Magnoliopsida; Fabales; Fabaceae. The record is from Rfam by way of RNAcentral.
GGAUCAUGAGGCGAUGUGAGUGGGUCUACGCAAUUUGCUAGACUCAGGAAAGUCCCCGGGCCACGACUGCAGAGAUGCAGACUCGGAAACGGGUAACUUCGAGCUGGGACUUGUCUCGUUUCCUUUGAAGCGAGGGGCUGAGACACGUGUGGAGCCUUUGCGAGUCCCGCCGAAGACAUUGGCCAAUGUCACAGUCAUUCACAUGGUCUUCCUGACUAACAGAACGGGGCUUACGCCCUCGUGAUC